This is a non-coding RNA of Peromyscus maniculatus bairdii (prairie deer mouse), 3329 nucleotides long. NCBI's taxonomy places the organism in Eukaryota, Metazoa, Chordata, Mammalia, Rodentia, Cricetidae. The record is from RefSeq and is a predicted model, not a curated record.
GCGGAGCGGAGCCCCGUGGCCGGCCGGCGGAGGCGGAGGCGGCCGGGUGGGCUCCGGCGGGGGCCGCCGCCUCUCCGGGGGAGCCGAGCGAGCCGCCAGAUGAUCGGGAGGCGGUCCCUGCUCGGCCUCACCUUUUGCACCUGCUACCUGGCUUCUCACCUCACGAACAAGUAUGUCCUGUCUGUCCUGAAAUUUACCUACCCUACGUUAUUCCAAGGGUGGCAGACACUCCUCGGUGGACUUCUACUUCAUGUGUCCUGGAAACUGGGCUGGGUGGAGAUCAACAGCAGCUUGAGAUCUAAUGUUUUGGCAUGGCUUCCUGCUUCAGUGCUGUUCGUGGGUAUAAUCUACGCAGGGUCCAGAGCUUUGUCCAGAUUGGCUGUUCCUGUGUUUUUCAUUUUGCAUAAUGUAGCUGAAGUUCUCGUCUGCGGGUACCAGAAGUAUGUCUGGAAAGAGAAAACAUCGCCCACAAAGAUCUGUAGUUUCCUCUUCCUCGUGGCUGCUGCAGGGUGCCUUCCCUUCCAGGACGCGCAGUUUGAUCCAGAUGGCUAUUUUUGGGCUGUAAUUCACUUAUUUUGUGUAGGGGCUUACAAAAUACUUCGGAAAUCCCAGAAGCCCAGCGUGUUAAGUGACAUUGACCAGCAGUAUUUAAACUAUAUAUUCAGUGUGGCACUCCUGGUAUUUGCGUCUCAUCCCACAGGUGACCUCUUCAGUGCCCUGGACUUUCCAUUCCUGUAUUUCUACAGAUUCCACGGCAGCUGCUGCGCCAGCGGAGUUUUAGGAUUCUUUCUCAUGCUCAGCACAGUAAAGCUGAGAAGCAUUCUGGCCCCAGGGCAGUGUGCAGCCUGGAUUUUCUUUGCUAAGGGCAAGGAAAGAGGGGAGAAAGCCCAAUUUGGGAGAUUCACCAACCAGCAAGGCAGGCCCAAAGGUGUGGCCAGUUGGGACCAUGCAUGGUAUCCAUGGGGACAGAAGAGUUUCAUUAUCUCUGCAAAUGGCAGGUGACCACAGCUGCCUCGUCACUGGUGCUGUUUGACGUGAUCCUGACCCGUGCAGCUGUGGGAUGAACUUCAAAAUGAACCAAAGAAACCCAGGUGUUGAAUUGAGCAAGAGAAACCAGAGCGAGACUGCUGUCUGGCGUGAGGAAAUGCUAGCAACGCAGUGGUUGUCUGGAAGGAACUCUGCUCCAGACUGCUUCACAUCCGUGGAGCUGAGCUUCCUGCUUGGUGGACUUGGCGAGGCCCUGCUGGUUUUCUCAGAGCGGAGGAGUUCCUGAUGAAGAUGGGCAGGAAAAGCAAACACACACCUUGCUGCUGGAGCAGAACACAGCACUCUGGCCUCCCUCUUGAGAGACAGAGAAGGAACACACUACAGAGAGACCAAGCUGAACUCAGUGUUUGCUGAUGAUCCAAACACCCCGCUUUCUCAUUGCUUGGGGGAGGGUUCCCCAGGGGCCCCAUGCUGGACCAUCUCCACUCUGCUGCACCCAGUUCUGCAGUCAGGAAGCAGAGGAUCCUAACGGGCUGGCUGCCUCCUCUGGACGGACCGUAGCCUCCCGCACUAAGUCCGCCUUCCACCCGACACCAGUUGCGGUCACAGUCCCAUGCAGCCUUGUUGCAUUUUUCUCAUGUCGUUUUGUGUCUUUACAUCUUGGAGUUUCUUCUGUUCUUUGAUUUUUCUGGUUUACCUGGAGCCCACACCACCCACAGAAAACAAGACUUGUAUGCUCCUGAGGGCCAUGUAGGGCAGGGCAGGUGUGGGGGCUGAGCCGGGGUUCUGGACCAAGUGAGACACCAGGAAAAACCUCUAGACUGUUCUGAGUGGAGGCCUUUUGACUGAUGUUGAUUUAUUUCCAGCUUCUAAAUUUUUCUUGGUUCUUGUGAAUUUGUCAGGAUGUGUUGAAUUCUGUAGACUCGUGACCACCAUUAGGUUAAGCUGGUGACUAACCAAUUACCUGAAGCCUUUUAAGUACUAGGUGGGUCUUAAACACCUCACCUGCUCUGCCUCCUGAGUGCCGAGACUUCAGGCAAUUCUUGAAUACAUGGAAUGGCUUCACAUCUCAGACGAGGUCUCAAGGCACUGAACCUGGGUUUUCUCUCUCACACCAGAUGAAAUGAUUGGAGCGAAGCCCACACCUUACCACCAGAGAAGAAACUACACAAACAGUCGCUAAAGGAAGUCAUGUUUCAGUGUAGAUAUUUCUUCUCACUGAUUUUACAAAUACUUGAUUCUGGCAAGUGCCACAGGGUUUUGGUCAUACUGAGGUCACUUCACCAGCCCUGAAGUAUAGGAGAACUGUGUCAUUGUUAGAGACCCUUGGGGCUCUGGGAACUUGCCCAGGCUCAGUCCGAGGAAGGAUAAAGUCAGCUCCAUUAUCGCUGAAUGUUUUCUCCAACUUGUUGGAAAACAAAGAAAAUGAAACAAUAGAAUAGAUUUAUGUAUUAAGAAUGUGAGGAUCUUUAGCUCAUGUCUUUUUCUGGCCUCUGCUUAUCAUUUAAGGUAAAAAUGUUCCAAGACUUAAUGCUUAUAUAGUUUGCAAUUCACUUUCUUAGAGUAUUUUUUAGGUUGUUUGUUCUAUUAUUUUAUAUGUACUGUGCACCAUGUGUAUGCCUGGUCCCUGUGGAGGUCAGAAGAGGGCAUCAGAUCCACAAAAACUGGAGUUACAGACAGCUGUGAGCUGCCAUGUGGGUGCUGGGAAGUGAACUCAUGUACUCUGCAAGAGUAACAAAUGCUUUAACCACUGAGCCAACUCUCCAGCCCUGCAACUUGCUUUUAAAAAGCAUUUUUAUUUUGAAUUACGUGUAUGUUUGUAAGUAUGUGCACAGUGGGUGCCCCAAGGAGGCCAGAAGGGAAUAUUGGAUGCCCUGGAGAAGGAGUUAGAGGAGGUUGUGAGCUGCCUGAGUGGGUGCUGGUGAGUCUUGCCGGAGACAGACUCCGGACCUCUGCAAGAGGAUGCUCUUACCUGCCGAGUGUGGCUCCCCGGUCUAGAACCCACUUUUGUUCUUCAUCUAGUGUAGCAACUAGUGAGUAUGUAGUAAUUAAUGUCCUGUGAGAGAGAACCUGGGUUUAGCAUUUUUCUUUUUAAUUCCCACAAACUUCUCUACUGCUACCCCUCCUCCAAAUGUCAUCCUGUGUCUAUCCUGCCAAAUGUCAUUUAAGCGGAUGGCGAGUCCUCAGCUCCAACCACACAGCGCUCAACCCAGCCCCAUCUCUAGCUGGGUUUCUUAAUUCUUGGGUGUUUUCGUACUGUGAUGAUAGGGUGAGACAGAGGAGCGGUUGCUCCUUCAAUACACCGACCUGUGUCCCCCAGCUCCAUGACCUGUGUCCCCCAG